This 73-nucleotide transfer RNA is filed under the name Salmo salar (Atlantic salmon). It matches the Rfam family "tRNA". Rfam says of the family: Transfer RNA (tRNA) molecules are approximately 80 nucleotides in length. Lineage: Eukaryota; Metazoa; Chordata; Actinopteri; Salmoniformes; Salmonidae. The record is from Rfam by way of RNAcentral.
GGGGAAUUAGCUCAAAUGGUAGAGUGCUUGCUUAGCAUGUGAGAUGUAGUGGGAUCGAUGCCCACAUUCUCCA